GGAGCCGGAGGGAGGACCCAGCGGUUAAGGUCGCCAGCUCCGCUUGCUCAGGACAGGAGCGGGAUCUUAGCUUAAGUUAGGAGGCUCACAAAGAUUCCAGUGCCAGGAGAUCUGGCGCCCUCUUCUGGCCUCUGCGGGCAUCAGCCUCAUCCCCAUAAAAUACAUUAAAAAAAAAGAUUUCAAAAAUAAAAAUAACACGAUAGAGAAAAGAUGCAUUUUAAAAAGCAGCAAACAUAGGUGGAAACAUCAGGACUUAGGGCUAGAAAAGAAUUAUUAGGUUAACCAAAAGCAUAAUCCAUAAAAAACUGAUGGAUGGAGCCCUUAUUCAACUAAGAAACCUCUACUCUUUGAUGUCCUGUGGGGAGAAGCACAGGAGAGCCACAGGCUAGGAGCGUACUGUGAAAGAGCAAUCCAGUAUGAAAAUGGAAAAAAGACAUGAGCGCACGCUACAGAGGAUGUGUAGGCAUCAGACACUAGAGGGUCACUGAUGAACCCUCCCACAGACCUGUCAGUCACUACCACCAAACCAAAAGUAGUGCAGGUGCCUGCCAAGUGAUGGCAAGGACCUAGAAAAAUUGCGUCACCACAGACUGCUGGCAAGAACUUGAAAAGGUGAAGCCAUCCUUCUAAAUUCUAAUAAAACUCAACGUGCAGUUAACCACUGAAUAACUCGUCUUCCCCUCCUCCCCCCUCUUUUUCUUGAGACAAGGUUUCACUAUGUUGCUCUAGCUGUUCUGGAACUCACUUUGUAGACCAGGCUGGCCUCAAACUCACAGAGAUCCGCCUGCCUCUGCCUGCCGAGUGCUGGGAUUAAAGGUGUGCGCCACCACCACCUGACAUGACUUGUUUUAGUUGUACUCUUUGGUAUGAAUCUCAGAGAAACAAAACUUGUAACCACAUAAAAAUUUACACAUGGGAAUCCAUAGCCUCUUUAUUCAGAAAAGACCACCUUGGAAUAACUCUGAUGUCAUUCAGUGGUUGAAGGGUUAAAGGGGUGUGUCCUGAUUAACAUGGCAAUGCCAACAAAUCCCCAGGAAACUAUACUAUACUAAAGAGAACUACAGUUACAUGCCGUGUAAAAUUUCAUUGUGUGGCAUUCUGAAAACAAUAAUAAUAAAAAUAAAUUAUUUCAAAUGGACAGAUUCCUAGUGGCCAGGGUCUGGAGUUGGGUAGAGAAGGGUAUUUGGUGAUAAAAAGUCCUGGGAUUGUUGCGGUGGCAAUGGGCAUGUCCUGUAUUUUGACUGUCCCUCCUCCAGGAUCUUCCUGUGAUUCUUGAUUGUGUUUUGUCUAAGUUUGCCCGUGGACAAACUGGGUAAAGCUUAUUUGUCUGAAUUAUUUCUUUCAAUUUCGCAUGAGUGCACAAUUGCCCUUAAAUAUAGAAGUUUAAUUUAAAACCAGAUCAGCCCAAUAGCGAGCAAACUUUAACAGGGCGGAGGCGGGCAGGGGUAGAGUGGAAGUAAACCUGCCGUUGCAGCAGGUUGAAGGGCUCCCAUCUUCAUUAGGACUCCCGAGACCUGCUCCGCCAGGGCUUCUCCUGCCUCCUCCUCAUUCCAGGGCUUUGAGACUUGGUCUGAGAGCCCCAUUAUUUAAUUUCUGGCUACUGUUUGGCUGGUUGGGCUUUUUUCGGGGCACGUCUCUCUAUGUAGCUCAGGCGGUCCUUAAACUCAUUGUAUACACUAGGCUGUCUCACGGAGAUUCAUUCACCUGCAGCUCCGAGUGGGGGGAUUAAAGGCGUGGGCCACUUAGUCCAGCUUUGGCUGCUGUUUUACUGAGCAGAGCCGUGGAGUUUUGGGGAGAGGACUUAGCUCACUUUUGUGAUAGGCUCCCAAUUGUCUGUCCGCGGGAGGUAUGGGGGAGGGGGUUCGGGGGCGAGCAGACUGGUCCUUAAGAAUUACCACUGAAUAAUCACCACUGGCCGAGCACCUCUGCUAGCUGAUCUCCCAAGAUUCUGAAACACACAUUUGCAAAUGAGGAAAAGGAAACUUAUCGAAGCUAACUCGUAACCCAGACAAGCAGCUGACACGAACCCAACUCUAUUCCACCCCAAACCCUGGAGGAAGAACAGCGGUGAGAAGACAGACGUCCUCUUCCAUCUGCUCUUUGUGUGCGACCCGGGGCGAAUUCCUGGCGCUCUCAGUGGCGGGGUUCCUUAUGUGGGCAAAUCGGACAAUCACAAAGUCAGGUUCCCCUCGCUCUGUGAAGGCGCCACACCUAGACGCAAAGUGGGACAUUCCACCUGGCACCCCGCUGGCUGCUGUGUCUGUGUUUGAAGUUCAAACCCGCAAUCAGCCUCAGGGGACAGAGGUGGAGUCUCGGGCGGGGCACCCCAAGUCUAGGGCAUCCCAGCUUUUGAGCACGCUGAGGUGUUUAGUGGGACUGGGACGCUUGCCAGCUUGCCUGGCCAAUCCCCGAGAGCAGGGUCCCCAGAGAUUUCAUUCUGCUUGGCCAAGGAUUCACCCCAGCCAGGACAAAUUAAGAGAGGGCCUGGCUUGCUUUAGAGGAGGCAGGGAGAUGAGGUGACCCACUUCUCUGGAACUGCCCCAGGCCAAGGUGGAGUUGGGGUUAUCUGAGCUGGGGUUAUCAAUCAGAUGGCAGCAGUCGGGCUCAGGGAAGAUGCGGGUCUCGACUGGUCCCCGGCCCCUGGAAAAAGAGGUAGAGAACCCUACCCCCCACCCUGCUCCAGCCACUCAGUAACUCUGUUAGGAACGGGACAGCCACACCCGGACGGGGACAAGUGGGAGUGCUGGCGCGCUACUCCAUCCCCACUGAGUACCAAGGGUGCUAGACCAGGGCUCCCAGUUCCGGAAGACGCCAGACGCCGCUGUCCCUGACUGACCAUCGGCAUUGUUAGUAGGACCCGUGCUGUAAAGCCCACUCUGGGUGGAGCCAGUUUGCCCCUCAGUAUCCUCGCUGGAGCCGCUGCAUCCAGAGCUGACCACUUACCAAGAAAUCAAAGUAUGUGCUUGGCUCGGCCCCACUAUUCUUUAAAGCAGUCCUUGAGGAACUGAAGCAUGCCCCACGCCACAGGAGCCUUGGAAACUUUAUUAAUAAUGAAACAGAAGAACAAAAGACUAUAAAUAAAAACUAGUCCCCCACGGUAGAAUGUGGUUAAUGGUGCGAGACAGAGUCCUAAGAGACAAAACUGAAAGUCCUUGCCAACACCUUGCCAACAUCUUAAUCAUGUAGAAGGAGUUUUGUUUGAUUGUGCUUAGCCUUGAUUUAUGUCUGGAACCCUGAAUGGGGUGAUGCAGUGAGCCUGCCAAGUUUUUUGAUCUGUUUUGUAUAUAAACUGAAGCUUUGCAGAAGUAAAAUUGCAGCAGAUUUUCACUA
Alexandromys fortis (reed vole) is the source of this 3330-nucleotide long non-coding RNA. RefSeq lists it as uncharacterized. Lineage: Eukaryota; Metazoa; Chordata; Mammalia; Rodentia; Cricetidae. The transcript is spliced from 2 exons. The record is from RefSeq and is a predicted model, not a curated record.